GAUGAACGCUGGCGGCGUGCCUAAUACAUGCAAGUCGAGCGAACAGAUGAGGAGCUUGCUCCUCUGACGUUAGCGGCGGACGGGUGAGUAACACGUGGAUAACCUCCCUAUAAGACUGGGAUAACUUCGGGAAACCGGAUCUAAUACCGGAUAAUAUAUUGAACCGCAUGGUUCAAUAGUGAAAGACGUUUUUUCUGUCUCUUAUACAUUGUUCCGCGCCGCAUUAGCUAGUUGGUAAGGUAACGGCUUACCAAGGCAACGAUGCGUAGCCGACCUGAGAGGGUGAUCGGCCACACUGGAAGGGAGACACGGACAAGAGGACUACGGGAGGAAGCAGUAGGGAAUCUGACGAAAUGGGCGAAAGCAUGACGGAGCAACGGCGAGUGAGGGAUGAAGGUCUUCGGAUCGUAAAACUCUGUUAUUAGGGAAGAACAAAUGUGUAAGUAAAUAUGCACGUAGUGACGGUAACUAAAAAGAAAGCAACGGCUAACUACGUG
Molecule: ribosomal RNA, 497 nt
Filed under: uncultured bacterium
Lineage: Bacteria
Description: partial 16S ribosomal RNA
Rfam family: Bacterial small subunit ribosomal RNA
Source: RNAcentral